AUGAGUGUGGCGUCCAGGGGGUUUAGACGGCAAAGCCCCGCCAAGAGAAGAAGGGAGAUGCCGACCACAUCGAAUACCGUUGAGGGACCGAGUGGGAGGAGGAGGAAACACCGUUCACUGACUUCAGCCUCGUACUUGCCGUUGGAGGCUUUAAUAAGCCCGAGUGGAAGAGCUUUCAGGAAGGAUGAGUCGUGCCAGGGAAACAGCAAGUGUAACGCUUUGCCAUGUGAGAUGAUUCGAGAUACAGAUGCUGCCCAAUUUCUACCAUCUCAUUAAAUUUAUGUGCAAGAGCGUAGAUAGUCUCUCAGGAGAUAAUCCAUGGUUUUUACCAGUUUAAAAAAAAAUAUGAGACUCAAAGGAAUAUUAAAUCACUGACCUAUAAAGCAGAGUUGUUUUAUCAGGAUGCAAGACAUCUAACAACUUACAGCUGAAGAAUAAUUGUUUAAAUAACUGGCCACAUCCCCUAGAUGUUCAAGGCAAGUUUUGAUACUUUAAGUAACUAACACUUUUAAACAUGGAGAGGGAAAUGGGUUGGAGGCAAGUAUUUGAAUGAAAGAUGAAUAAGCUACCUCUACGAUGUUCACUAAAAAUGUUCAUUAUGUUAAAAGGAUUCCAUGUAUUCUGUAGGUGGAAGUGAUUUCAGGAAACAUUUCUUUCAUCAACAAAGGGAAAGCAUCACAUGGAGCACAGCAUUUUGGAGGGGAUCACUUAGUUAUCAAAGGAAACCACAUCUUUAUUCAUGUGUUUGUAAAAAAAAAAAGAGAAGAUACACUCUUGCUGAUUUUAAUACCAAGCAGCAUCUACUAUGUAAAUUAUAUUUUAUUAAGGUAAUCCUGAAGUCACUUUAAUGCCCCAUGACUUCUAGAACUCAGUAACUAAUUUUCUUUGUUUAUCCCGGCUGUAAAUGUCUUUGAUGCUGGAUCCCAGCCUAGAAUCACAUGGAAACAAUUAUGUAAUCAUUUUGCAUCACUAUUUAAAAAUAAAUUAUAUGAGACUAUUCA
RNAcentral lists this long non-coding RNA (1001 nucleotides) under Vulpes vulpes (red fox). RNAcentral's name for it is "lncRNA (ENSVVUG00000000799.1)". The record is from RNAcentral. Lineage: Eukaryota; Metazoa; Chordata; Mammalia; Carnivora; Canidae.